Varroa destructor (honeybee mite) is the source of this 559-nucleotide long non-coding RNA. RefSeq lists it as uncharacterized. The record is from RefSeq and is a predicted model, not a curated record. Lineage: Eukaryota; Metazoa; Arthropoda; Arachnida; Mesostigmata; Varroidae.
UCCGAAGUCGGAUAAUUGCAGGGUCCACUUGUUUGUUAUGAGACAGUUCGUAGACUUAAGAUUACCGUGAACGCGAAUCGAGCUCUGGUGGAGAACGUUUUAAACGCUGGACAUUUCAACUGGUGGCCUUCAGCAUCGAUACAUUUCUGAAGACGAGUCUCGAUUGGCUGCGUACUUCAUGACAAGGUCUCCGAUGAGGCUCGUGAACACACGUUUAAAUUUCAUCCCAAAGCGUUACGUGAUCUUUGACGAUAUAUGCUAUGAUUUUCUCCACGCGAAAAAGUCGAGCUCGCCCUGAUCUGCCCUCGUGCACAUCGUUACGAAUCUCGAACAUGUCUCGUAGUUGUGCAAUUGUCGAGCAGACCCAUGUAUCCAUAUUUACAGCACUUCUGAAUUAUAGCAGCAUUUGAUAGCAACAACAAUUUGACAGUAAUGCGUCUUCAAAGCUCAAUGUAUUUGAGCGUUGCUGACGCUUUUAUUUUACCACCAACAGAACAAGCCAGCUCAACUAAAACCCUUAGUUUGACAACAACAAAACAUACUUGUGUUUCAAAUUGGA